UUAAGUUCAGCGGGUAGUCCUACCCGAUUUGAGGUCAGAUGGUCAAGUCGUUGUCCUCGCGGACGGUUGGAAGCCAGUCCCAGGAUGAGGCAGAGGGGGUCCCCCGACGGGUGAUCUUAUCACGCCGAGCGAGAACACCCCGGAGCCAAGGGACAGGAGGCUAAUGCGUUUCGGAUGAGCCGACCGUCUCCGGCCGGCAG
RNAcentral lists this unclassified non-coding RNA (200 nucleotides) under Botryobasidium sp. RNAcentral describes it as "partial internal transcribed spacer 2". Lineage: Eukaryota; Fungi; Basidiomycota; Agaricomycetes; Cantharellales; Botryobasidiaceae. The record is from RNAcentral.